CAGGUAGCAGGAUGUAGAUGUGGACUGAAGAUUGCCAGGUAGCAGGAUGUAGAUGUGGACUGAAGAUUGACAGGUAGCAGGAUGUAGAUGUGGACUGAAGAUUGCCAGGUAGGAGGAUGUAGAUGUGGACUGAAGAUUGCCAGGUAGCAGGAUGUAUAGAUGUGGACUGAAAAGAUUGCCAGGUAGGAGGAUGUAGAUGUGGACUGACGAUUGCCAGGUAGGAGGAUGUAGAUGUGGACUGAAGAUUGCCAGGUAGGAGGAU
This is a long non-coding RNA of Haliotis rubra (blacklip abalone), 262 nucleotides long. RefSeq lists it as uncharacterized. The transcript has 4 exons. Lineage: Eukaryota; Metazoa; Mollusca; Gastropoda; Lepetellida; Haliotidae. The record is from RefSeq and is a predicted model, not a curated record.